AACAAGGUUUCCGUAGGUGAACCUGCGGAAGGAUCAUUGUCGAAUCCUGCAUAGCAGUACCACUCGCGAACAAGUUUACAAACGUAGGACCUAAUCAAAUGCCCGGGGAAUUCCCUACAUUUGAUUUUGUGCCUAGCGGUGCUCUAGCAAUUCGCUAAAGUGCCUAACAAACCCCCGGCGCGAGAAGCGCCAAGGCAUACUCUAACAAGGGCUUUAUCCGUCCUCUCCCGUUCGCGGGGUAAAGAGGACCGGAGACGGCUUCUUCUAAUCUGAAACGACUCUCGGCAACGGAUAUCUCGGCUCUCGCAUCGAUGAAGAACGUAGCGAAAUGCGAUACUUGGUGUGAAUUGCAGAAUCCCGUGAACCAUCGAGUCUUUGAACGCAAGUUGCGCCUGAAGCCAUUAGGCUAAGGGCACGUCUGCCUGGGCGUCACACAUCGCGUCACCCCUUCCAUUUUAUUGGAUGUGGUGGAAUAUGACCUCCAGUGCCUUUUGGUGUUGUUGGUCGAAAGUUGAGUCCGGAGCUUAGGAUGUCACGGCAAGUGGUGGUUGGAUAACAACUCUCGUCCUGUCGUGUGCCCGAACCUCUUGUGAUUGAAAUAGCCCUAAGGCACAUUACCCUCCUCUUGGAGUUGGGCGUUGUGUCAUGACUGCGACCCCAGGUCAGGCGGGAUUACCCGCUGAAUUUAAGCAUAUCA
This 697-nucleotide ribosomal RNA is filed under the name Microcaryum pygmaeum. RNAcentral's name for it is "eukaryotic LSU rRNA". The stretch from base 277 to 432 matches the Rfam family "5.8S ribosomal RNA". Lineage: Eukaryota; Viridiplantae; Streptophyta; Magnoliopsida; Boraginales; Boraginaceae. The record is from RNAcentral.